Molecule: non-coding RNA, 1874 nt
Organism: Podarcis lilfordi (Lilford's wall lizard)
Lineage: Eukaryota; Metazoa; Chordata; Lepidosauria; Squamata; Lacertidae
Source: the annotation of a GenBank genome assembly
ACCAGAUUCCUUCAGCACGGAGACACUCCACACAAGUUCCUUUUACUACAGAGCCUGGUAAGUCACGCUACAAUAAUUCAUGCAAUUAUUUUGCAUGAAUUCUUGAAAAAUAUCUACUGAUACUUGCAAUACCUCCUGACAAUCUUAUAUUUACUUUCUUAGAACUUGCCAUUUGUUAAUUAUUCAGCAUUCUCAUGCCUUGUUACGCUGCCUUUUCUACGGGGAUAUACGUUCGGUAUUCAUUACCCCUGCUAUGCAAAAAUCUCCAAAUGAAUCUGAAUUUCAAUGUCUAAAAUCCCUGGUAGAGGACAAGGAUCCUGAGAUCACAUUAAGGGUAGUCAAAUUCUGUGUGAUUGACAUAAAACGUAGGGAACAAGCUGUGCUAUCACAAUGAUUAAGGCCUUAAAUGAUAAUUUUAGGUUAUAUCUUAGUGAUUAAGUUUUAAUUUAUAUAUUUUUAAAUAUAUAUAUCUGUAUUGUCCCUGUUAUACCUAAUUGCAAAUUCAAAUGUAUCCCUAUCAUGUUUUAUCACUUCCUUGAUAUUGUAUGUGGGCUGGAACUGGUCUGUGACCGAAAUAAUAAAUUCAAUUAUUCAGCAUUAUAUAUUUGCGAUCUUUUCUGGCUAGCAGAACUGGAAGUGGAAAUUAAGAAGAGAAAUAGACCAUAGCAGAGCCAUUUUUCUCAGUUGACAUGCUCUGUUCUUUGUUUCAGCUUUCUUACCCAUUUCCAAUUUGUACAAAGGGAAGAUUAAGCCGUAGAAUGUUGUUAAUAAGCCCAUAUAAUGUUUGGAAUGUCUUAGGAUGGUGGUCUAGGGACAGUUCUGUAUUAUUGGGCAGAAACUGAACACUGAUUCAAGGUAGUGGAGGGGGUAUAGAUUUACCAAUAAUGAUUAGAAUCAAAUGUCCUUGCUCUUGGUGGAAGGUUUCCAAUAAGCUAUAUUAAAAAUAAUGAUGUUACUGCUAUUUUAAUUUUUUAUGCGUUGUAUUCAACUAAGGGAGAGUAGACCAACUGCUAUGAAUGGACCUAAGGCAAGGGUAGCAAACAUAUUGCACUCAAAAUAGUUUGGACUACACCUCUGAUUGUCCCUGGCUAUUGGUCAUGUUGGGUGGGGAUGAUGAGAGUUGAACUCCACAACACCUGUAGGAUACCAUAUUGGCAUUCCCCAAACAAAAUUAUUCAUGUCCAUUGAUUUCCAUGGGUUUACUCUGAGUACAACUAACAUUGGAAACCUGGAAGAUAACUUUAUUAAUGGCCAGAAGCCACAAUGACUGUGUUGAACCUCCACUGUCAAGGGCACUUUACCUCUAAUUGCCAGUUGCUGGGAAUCACAAGUGGGGUAUUAUACAACCUGGCUCCCAUUCAUCACUAUAUUUUUCUGCCCACCUCUGAAGUUUCAUAUGUUUUUAAAGGUCUGUUGAGGGACCUGAACACUGUGAAAUUAUAUUAUCAUUGAUCGUUGUACACUUUGUCAACCCCGCACCUGAUGUUUCUCCUCAGAUCCACACAACCACUUCAGCAACGAUGUCUGCCGAAUAUAACCAAUGCUUUGCCAGCUGCCCUGCCUCCACCGUCACGAUUCAACCACCUCCCUUUGUCCUGACCAUCCCUGGGCCAGCUCUCUACUGCCCCGACCAACCACUCUGCAUUGAGCAGUACAACCCCUGUGCUCGUAUGAUUACCUCCAAUGAAGGAGCAGCCUUUGGUGGAUAUGGUGCAACCUCCCGUCUGAGCGCCACAGGCAUCUAUUCUCAGAAAAUGCAGUCCGGAGGCCUGAGCGGAUGCAGUCCAUGCCAGCGAUUCUAAGCUCCAAAACACAGAGCACAGAACGAAUAUUGUGAAGACCAUGGAAUAAGAAAUCAAAAUGUUAGAUCCACU